CUAGCUGUAAACGAUGGAUACUAGGCGUUGAGAGUAUCGACCCUCUCAGUGCCGUAGCUAACGCGUUAAGUAUCCCGCCUGGGGAGUACGCGCGCAAGCGUGAAACUCAAAGGAAUUGACGGGGGCCCGCACAAGCGGUGGAGUAUGUGGUUUAAUUCGAUGCAACGCGAAGAACCUUACCAGGGCUUGACAUGUCCGGAACCCUGCCCAAAGGCGGGGGUGCCUACGGGAACCGGAACACAGGUGGUGC
Molecule: ribosomal RNA, 250 nt
Filed under: uncultured Chroococcidiopsis sp.
Lineage: Bacteria; Bacillati; Cyanobacteriota; Cyanophyceae; Chroococcidiopsidales; Chroococcidiopsidaceae
Description: partial 16S ribosomal RNA
Rfam family: Bacterial small subunit ribosomal RNA
Source: RNAcentral